GACGAACGCUGGCGGCGUGCUUAACACAUGCAAGUCGAACGGAAAGGCCCUGCUUUUGUGGGGUGCUCGAGUGGCGAACGGGUGAGUAACACGUGAGUAACCUGCCCUUGACUUUGGGAUAACUUCAGGAAACUGGGGCUAAUACCGGAUAGGAUCUCCUGCUGCAUGGUGGGGGUUGGAAAGUUUCGGCGGUUGGGGAUGGACUCGCGGCUUAUCAGCUUGUUGGUGGGGUAGUGGCUUACCAAGGCUUUGACGGGUAGCCGGCCUGAGAGGGUGACCGGCCACAUUGGGACUGAGAUACGGACCAGACUCCUACGGGAGGCAGCAGUGGGGAAUAUUGCACAGUGGGAGGAAGCCUGAGGCAGAAACGCCGCGUGCGGGAUGACGGCCUGCGGGUUGUAAACCGCUUUCGCCUGUGACGAAGCGUGAGUGACGGUAAUGGGUAAAGAAGCACCGGCUAACUACGUG
This 468-nucleotide ribosomal RNA is filed under the name uncultured bacterium. Its description in RNAcentral is "partial 16S ribosomal RNA". It matches the Rfam family "Bacterial small subunit ribosomal RNA", at positions 28 to 507 of the family's 1533-position model. The record is from RNAcentral.